RNAcentral lists this non-coding RNA (28 nucleotides) under Rattus norvegicus (Norway rat). Lineage: Eukaryota; Metazoa; Chordata; Mammalia; Rodentia; Muridae. The record is from RNAcentral.
UGCCAUGAGACAAAGCGUGCACUGGGAC